AGUCCACAAAACACAUGUAGACUGGUUGGGCGAACUCCCAUGCACCCUCCAGGUUCACCUGUGGCCGUUUAAUCCAACAGGGCUGAAGACUCUCAGUCUACAUUGUCUUCUUUGGCCACUGGGUAAUAAAUGCUCUGAGUUAUUUUACAUUCUAUUUUACUGAUUUUUUUUGUCAUUCUUUGCAGACUGGAGCAUUCAGUGUAACGUCUUCAAAGCUUUAGAGGAGGUGAAGGAGACGGCCUUGGAAAACCACAGGAUGCUGCGAGUCAUUCUGAUCCGACUUACAGCCACUGAUUCUCCUGAAGAGAAGGAUUCACUGGAUGAGCUCGACCUUCCAUCCUCCACCGCAGAAAAAUUAAAAGUCCUGAACCAAAAACUGGAGUCAGGAGCUGUUCAGAAAUAAAUACUGGAUCUCUGAGGGACCUGAUUGGCUGUCUACAACAUUUUAUCCAAAAUCCUCUCAAACCGCCAAGCAGAGCAGUAGAGCGAACGGGAUGGAGAGAGAAGUCUUUCUGCUCACCAGCACUUGGUGACUGAAUUUAAGGCUGUACCAAAGAACCAAAGGUCAGAUUCAGAACACCAAAACAGUUUUAAGAAGGCUCAACGUUGUCUGGUUUGUUUGUUGGUUUUUUUAUUAUUAUUAUUUUGUGCAUGUGUCAACGCUCAUGAAAUCAGUUAUGGCGUAAAUAUCUCUUUUAAAGUCAUAUUUUUAAGCAGUGGUUGUUUUUUAAAUGCACUUUGCCUUGAUUUAUUAUUAUUGUGAAUGUCUUUUCUGAAAACUCAUUUCACUAAAAUUGAUACCGCGCUAUUUCACUUUGUUAUAAG
Molecule: long non-coding RNA, 825 nt
Organism: Xiphophorus maculatus (southern platyfish)
Lineage: Eukaryota; Metazoa; Chordata; Actinopteri; Cyprinodontiformes; Poeciliidae
Exons: 3
Source: RefSeq, a predicted model, not a curated record